RNAcentral lists this ribosomal RNA (490 nucleotides) under uncultured bacterium. Its description in RNAcentral is "partial 16S ribosomal RNA". It matches the Rfam family "Bacterial small subunit ribosomal RNA", at positions 30 to 507 of the family's 1533-position model. The record is from RNAcentral.
AUUGAACGCUGGCGGCAGGCCUAACACAUGCAAGUCGAACGGUAACAGAAAGCAGCUUGCUGCUUUGCUGACGAGUGGCGGACGGGUGAGUAAUGUCUGGGAAACUGCCUGAUGGAGGGGGAUAACUACUGGAAACGGUAGCUAGUACCGCAUAACGUCGCAAGACCAAAGAGGGGGACCUUCGGGCCUCUUGCCAUCGGAUGUGCCCAGAUGGGAUUAGCUAGUAGGUGGGGUAAAGGCUCACCUAGGCGACGAUCCCUAGCUGGUCUGAGAGGAUGACCAGCCACACUGGAACUGAGACACGGUCCAGACUCCUACGGGAGGCAGCAGUGGGGAAUAUUGCACAAUGGGCGCAAGCCUGAUGCAGCCAUGCCGCGUGUAUGAAGAAGGCCUUCGGGUUGUAAAGUACUUUCAGCGGGGAGGAAGGGAGUAAAGUUAAUACCUUUGCUCAUUGACGUUACCCGCAGAAGAAGCACCGGCUAACUCCGUG